GACCUUAUAUUCAAUUGAAUGAUAUUAAAAUGCAAUUUUAAAGUAAUAGAUUAAAUCUAU
RNAcentral lists this transfer RNA (60 nucleotides) under Ectemnonotum fruhstorferi. RNAcentral describes it as "tRNA-Cys". The record is from RNAcentral. Lineage: Eukaryota; Metazoa; Arthropoda; Insecta; Hemiptera; Cercopidae.